This 241-nucleotide long non-coding RNA is filed under the name Setaria italica (foxtail millet). RNAcentral describes it as "long non-coding RNA (SITA_LNC000280)". Lineage: Eukaryota; Viridiplantae; Streptophyta; Magnoliopsida; Poales; Poaceae. The record is from RNAcentral.
ACAGCAUCUGCAAUUCUGCAUGCUAUGGGGGCUAAAUCCUACAGUCCAUGCAACUUGGCAGGAAAUUAAACAGCGGCCACCAGAAAUACCGACACAGGAGUUCUCCACAUCUAUGGCGUAAAAGGUCUGCGUACAAAAUGGAGGCCACGGCACGUUCCUGCUUAUGGAUCAAGCAUCUCUUCCUUCACCGGGGUGCGCCGAAUAGCAAGCUCAUUGCCGCGAGGCUGGGUUACUAUCUCUG